RNAcentral lists this ribosomal RNA (188 nucleotides) under uncultured rumen bacterium. Its description in RNAcentral is "partial 16S ribosomal RNA". It matches the Rfam family "Bacterial small subunit ribosomal RNA", at positions 340 to 524 of the family's 1533-position model. The record is from RNAcentral.
UACGGGAGGCAGCAGUGAGGAAUAUUGGUCAAUGGGCGAGAGCCUGAACCAGCCAAGUAGCGUGCAGGAAGACGGCCCUAUGGGUUGUAAACUGCUUUUAUACCAGGGAUAAAGUGNGCCACGUGUGNUGUAUUGCAGGUACUGUAUGAAUAAGGACCGGCUAAUUCCGUGCCAGCAGCCGCGGUAAU